UACCAACUGGAGUUAUCUGCUCUACUGUAACAGAACUUCAAACACAAUCUCACAACAUCACAUCAUACAGCGACACUCCCACCUGCAACUCUUCAUCACGCUGUAACGUCACACCUCCCAUAAUACACACCCUGACACCGACUCCGGUCUCCAAGUUCAUGUUACUCAGAACACAAUAAUGAUCACUGCUGGUCUGAUCAGACUCUCUGCAGCUCUGCUCUGGAUUGUAGGUCUAAUUGAUGGGAGUGAUGUCACUCAGACACCUUUGCUGUGGAAGGUCAAGGAUCAGUCUGCCACAAUGAACUGCAGUCACAACAAGGAUGCUACUUUUUACCAGAUGUACUGGUACAGACAGCUACCAGGAGAGGGGAUGAAGCAAAUAGUUCUCACCACUACAAUUCCCCCGUUUCAAUAUGAAAGUGGCUUCAGCGAGGACAAGUUUCCAGCGCAGAAGAACAACCCUCAGACUGGAUCUUUGACAGUGGAGAAGCUGCUGCCUGAGGACAGUGGAGUGUAUUUUUGUGCUGUGAGUCAACACAGUGAUACAGGUGGCUGAGACAGCUGUACAAAUACCCAACUGUUGCUGUCACAAUGAAUAGACAUCAUCACUGUGUAUAAUUCUCUGUAGGAGGAGCUGGAGACCUGUAUACUACAUUAAGAUUUUGAGCAGUCAGUGUUAUUUUUUAUAUCAGUAGCUUUGUGAUAUAAUUGUUAUACUGGAGUGUAGAAAUAUGUUGAAGUUAAAGGUCAGUGAAUGUGAAAUGACAUACAAAACAAAUACAGAAAUUGUCACAUCACUACUUUUUACAUUCUGUAUUAGGUUUCUUUCUCUGACCCUUAAAUGUAAAAAAACCCAACAUGUUUCCUACUUUUCAUGCAUUACAGAACUGUGUGAAAUUACUACACUGUAUUUUGUGACAGAUAACUGUCUGAAUCUAGAAUCAAAAGACAUUUUAUCUAUAAACCUCCAUCACCUCUGGGUUUACUGCCAAAUAUAGUGACUAGCACCUGGAACCAAUUGAAUCCAAACCCUAUCAAAAACGUUUUAUGACUCUGUGUCUGAUGUGUCCUGACUACUAACAAAUGUUAAUAAAGACCAAUGUAG
Dicentrarchus labrax (European seabass) is the source of this 1105-nucleotide non-coding RNA. The record is from the annotation of a RefSeq genome assembly. NCBI's taxonomy places the organism in Eukaryota, Metazoa, Chordata, Actinopteri, Moronidae.